This 449-nucleotide ribosomal RNA is filed under the name uncultured Streptococcus sp. RNAcentral's name for it is "bacterial SSU rRNA". It matches the Rfam family "Bacterial small subunit ribosomal RNA", at positions 930 to 1382 of the family's 1533-position model. Lineage: Bacteria; Bacillati; Bacillota; Bacilli; Lactobacillales; Streptococcaceae. The record is from RNAcentral.
CGGUGGAGCAUGUGGUUUAAUUCGAAGCAACGCGAAGAACCUUACCAGGUCUUGACAUCCCGAUGCUAUUUCUAGAGAUAGAAAGUUACUUCGGUACAUCGGUGACAGGUGGUGCAUGGUUGUCGUCAGCUCGUGUCGUGAGAUGUUGGGUUAAGUCCCGCAACGAGCGCAACCCCUAUUGUUAGUUGCCAUCAUUCAGUUGGGCACUCUAGCGAGACUGCCGGUAAUAAACCGGAGGAAGUGGGAUGACGUCAAAUCAUCAUGCCCCUUAUGACCUGGGCUACACACGUGCUACAAUGGUUGGUACAACGAGUUGCGAGUCGGUGACGGCGAGCUAAUCUCUUAAAGCCAAUCUCAGUUCGGAUUGUAGGCUGCAACUCGCCUACAUGAAGUCGGAAUCGCUAGUAAUCGCGGAUCAGCACGCCGCGGUGAAUACGUUCCCGGGCCUU